RNAcentral lists this ribosomal RNA (283 nucleotides) under uncultured bacterium. Its description in RNAcentral is "partial 16S ribosomal RNA". It matches the Rfam family "Bacterial small subunit ribosomal RNA", at positions 335 to 610 of the family's 1533-position model. The record is from RNAcentral.
UCGCCUACGGGGCGCAGCAGUAGGGAAUCUUCCACAAUGGACGAAAGUCUGAUGGAGCAACGCCGCGUGAGUGAAGAAGGGUUUCGGCUCGUAAAGCUCUGUUGGUAGUGAAGAAAGAUAGAGGUAGUAACUGGCCUUUAUUUGACGGUAAUUACUUAGAAAGUCACGGCUAACUACGUGCCAGCAGCCGCGGUAAUACGUAGGUGGCAAGCGUUGUCCGGAUUUAUUGGGCGUAAAGCGAGUGCAGGCGGCCCAAUAAGUCUGAUGUGAAAGACUUCGGCCC